UAUAUAGGUAAAACUCUUAGAGCAUCUCUAAUGCUAGCGCUACACUAUGCGCGAAUUCGCGAUUCGUAAUUCAUAAAUCGCGAUUUAUCUGACCAUUCGACCAGCGAAUCAGUGCAAAUGACGAAUCGCGCAUGAUGAAUUUUUCAACGAAAUUUUUUCUCCACACUAUUCAUGAACGUCAGAUAAAUCGCCAAUUACGAAUUACGAAUCGUACGAAUCGCGAAUACGCGCAUAAUGUGGCGGUAGCAUUAGACGUUUUCAAGUCUGUUUAUCCGAAAGUCUGUGUGCAAUAGCAAAUAUUAUUUCAAGUGUGAUUUAAUAUUUUAAUGUAUAAAUAAGUAGUUUUUUUUUCUCAAAUGGAGAACUUUGAGAAAGUGGAAUGCGAACUCUUAGAAGAAGCAAACGGAAGCUACAUUGAGUGAAUUCUUUACAUGGUUGCAUUCAUGUGAGGAGCGUUCGAAGAAUUCGAAGAAUUGUGCCAAGCGUCCUCGGCUUGCCAUAGGACAGAGACAAUCUAUGGUGACAAGAAUCGCUCGACUCGCGAGUGAAAAAACGCGAUUGGAAAGACGUUUUAUACACGUUGGUAGUAACUAUGCGAGCACUAGUGAUAAUAGUGAUAACGCGAGACUUGAGUGGCGUGCAAUAGAUACUGCAUUUGAGAAUCGUAUCUUAACCGGUGCAGUGAUUAAUGUGCGUCACAUUGAACCUCGUCAUUUUUUAGAAGAUAUUAAAGACAUUGUGCUUGAGCGAGUGCGGGAGACAAUAGACAAACAUGGUAGUGUAAAAGUGAAUACCGCGUUCAAUGGCGAAUUUGCAGCGGGGGAUAAACGUGCUAAUAAGAGCAUUACCACGAGAAACAGCGAUCUUUUUAGAACAUCGGACUUGAAUGAGUGGUACAAGCGGUACGUUAUCGAGCCUACGUUAGCGUUGCUCGAUGAAUUUCAAGAACGUGAUAGUGGGUGGGCGUUAUCACGUAUACUAAAUUUAACUAUUAAUAUAAAUAAGUAUAAUCCUAUGCGUGCGGGAUGUCGUUUCACAUUACCACGACCUAUUAUGCUGAAAAAAACGAUAAUCAACGUGCAAUCAAAAGACAAUGCUUCGCGUGGUCAGUGGUCGCCGCUCUACUGGUCCUGCUGAAAGAAAUACAGGAUUGGAAUCGUCAUAUCUGCAUUAUGCAACAGUCCUAAAGUUUGAUGAUAUUGUGUUUUCCGUUACAGUAAAGGAUAUUGGAAAAUUUGAGUCUUAACAAUAUAUCGAUCAACGGGAUGAAAAAGGAAAUGGCAAUGCUAAAGAUUCUUCCGCUGCGGUUCUCCACUGAUAAGAAAGAAAAGCAUGUCAAUUUAUUAUACAUGCAAAAUCCGCGCGAAGACAGCGUAGGCCACUUUGUCUGGAUAAAAAAUCUGUCCCGCCUCGUCAGCUCUCAACUGAGUAAAAAGGAGCACAAGAAAUACAUUUGCGAUCGGUGCUUGCACUAUUUUUCAUCAUGCGAGAGGUUGCAAUCACGCGCUGUAGACUGUCAGAAGAUGAACGACUGCGCUAUCACAUUGCCUGCCGAAAACGACAAGUGGUUGAAUUUCCGAAAUAUAAACCACAAGGAACGAGUGCCCUUUAUCGUCUGUCUACGCGGACCUCGAGUGUGUGCUGCGGAAGACGCAACAUGAUACAGAGCAAGCGUCGUACACAUAUCAACAACAUGAGGUAUUCAGCAUCGGGUAUUACGUGCGAUGCUCAUACGACGACACGUUAUCCACAUACCGGUUUCGUCGCGAUAAAGAUUGCGUCGCGUGAUUCACUAAACAUCUUGAAGAAUUAGCGUAUAAUGUUAAGACUCGUUUAUCAUCUAAUAUCCCCAUGGAAACGUUAUCGGAGGAACAAUUGGAGGCAUACCGUAGCGCGACGCGGUGUCAUAUCUGCGAUAAGCCAUUCGCGUCGGAUGAUACGCGGGUGCGCGAUCAUUGUCAUUUGAUUGGUCGUUACCGCGGUCCUGCACAUUCUCUUUGUAAUUUAAAUUAUCGAAAUGCAUCAUACAUGCCAAUUAUUUUUCAUAACUUAUCUGGAUACGAUUCGCAUUUCAUUAUUAAGGACAUAGCCACAGCGUUCAAAGGGAAAACCGACGUACUUCCCAUCACGAAAGAAAAGUACAUUUCUUUUACAAAAUGUCGUAGACACAGCCGAUAAAUUAUAUUCACACAAUUACAUAAAACUACGGUUCAUAAAUUCAUAUAAAUUUUUAAAUACUAGUCUCGAAAAAUUGACAUCAUUUCUAG
Monomorium pharaonis (pharaoh ant) is the source of this 2267-nucleotide RNA transcript. RefSeq lists it as uncharacterized. NCBI's taxonomy places the organism in Eukaryota, Metazoa, Arthropoda, Insecta, Hymenoptera, Formicidae. The record is from RefSeq and is a predicted model, not a curated record. The transcript is spliced from 2 exons.